GCAUUCACUUGUGUCUGGCAGUGUCUUGAAGAGUGUGUCCCAGAAUUCUCAAGGGUUCUUGCACCCACACUUGGUUCUUGGUGCACUCUGGUUUUACCAAAGGCAUUUAGAGAAAAUGUACAAGGUUGAUCUUGAAAUUAUGACUGCUGUUAGUCAAUGUAGAGACACCUGCUUUAGUCUUUGCCAUUGAGGUACAGUAAAAUGAGAGAGCCACUGAAUGUUGGGUCACAGAAACAUUCAAACAUUCUGAGAUGCCGCCAUGGAAAUGAGGAGAUUUAUGCAUUUGCUGUCCAUACUGAGGAUGUGAAAAAAUUUCAUCGUAUUCAGAAAAGGAAAAGGAAUUGAUGAAACUGGAAUCCAGUCUCUGUGAAAGCUACAAAGCAGGAAGGCAGGAUGGAGAAGAUGAAUCAAGGGAUAUAAAGAGAAAAAAAAAACAACAAAAAACCUGAGGCACCGAGGAACCCAAGUCUCAUUGACACUAAUGGCAAAAAUAGUGCUGAAUUAAACUGUUCUGGAAGUGAAUUACCUGCUUAUGGAAUGGCAGAGAACGACCAUCACAGUGCAAUGAAUGCUGGAAGAGUGAAAUCCUUGCUGGAUGCUUAUUUUGUUUGGAAUCCUUGCUAAAUAUACACCAAAUGGCCUCAUUUUAAGCAUUAGAAGUAAAAAAAAAAAGAGGUGUUAAUUCACCAUGGUUUUCACCUUGUGGCAUGAGAUGAUGAGGAUGGGACCUGCUAGUUCUAGUCUCUGUAUCGGCCAUAAAGUGGAGCCAAUUGCUUUUCAGAUUUUUCUUGGAGCAUGGCAAUCAAAGCCAUGAGGAUAAAAGUGGUGUUUAUUGAUUUUUUUUUUCCAAGCCUAAGAUAUUUUUAGCAAAAGCAGCAUCAGGAAAUGUAGAAUAAAACUACUUAGUAUCGACUGCUAUUCUGUGGCUUCCUACCAGUCUUAACGCACUGAUGUGGUUCAAAGUCAGCAGCAAGGGAUAAUAGUAAAGGAGCCCUUAUGGGCUUUGAUCCAUAGGAUAAAAGCAAAAUAAAUAAAAAAAAAAUUAAAAGAAAAACCCUGCACCCCUUCUUUCAGCAAAUGGUAGCUAAUAGGAUAUUUCUGAGCUCUAUCUUCUAAUUUCUGUUUGGAUAGCAUGAAAAUAAUGGCCAAGAACCUUUAUUUCUGCUAUGUUAAUUGUCACAGUAUCAAGGAUUUCAUUAUAUUCCUGAAAAUUAUGUUUGUACAAGAAAUUGCAUUCUACUGAGCUGAGUACAGAGCAAUGCAGUUCCUCAUACCCAGUAAAAGCCUGAAAAAAGUGACGCUGACCACAAAGUUGUCAGCAACAUGCCAAGUCUUUAUCCCACUGCUCACUCACCUUACGAAUACGAAUUAAAAUAGAAAUAAAAUGUUAGUUUCCACAGCCUUUGUUAAUCAUACUACAAAGGUGGCAGCAUUUGAUGGCUUAGGCAGCUUAACAUUUACAAACCAUCAUAAUCCCAAAGUCUGUAUUUCUUGGAUAGUAAUACCUGAAAUUUUGUAACUGUGCAAGGUGCCAAUGAACUCCAGUCUUACAGGAAACAAAAUCCAUUUAGGCACAUGGAAACUAUUUACAAGUGCCAAGUGGCUACAUAGAUAGAUUUAUCUGUCUGCUCCUGGAGCUAAUUUCAUUCUUACGUGAUUUCUUUAGGAGGGACAUGUAUAUUUUUAUGCUUCUGCUACUGUAAGUUGAAUUCUUUGGCAGGACUUCCAAGAACCAUCAUCAGCUUUAUGUGUACAAGGUGUAAGGGAAAAGACUGUACAUUUGUUCAUCAACCUAAAUUUUUCUGCCCUUCUGUGCUUGCAUUUUGACAUUUUUCACUUGCACUUUACCUUUUUUUCCUACAAAACCCAAGUCCCUGGCUGUGACUCUCUGGCUUGCUAAAACCCUUUCUGUUUGUUGAGCAACUCUGAUUUUGGUGAGUAUUUUGCAAAUGCUUCUCUUCAGGGGAAAUUUUUAAUUUUUCCAUGAAAACUCUUCAUACUACUAGGAAACCAAAACCACAUCUUCACUGGGAACCUUACUUUGGCUGGCUAAAAUGAAGGCAGGCAGUAAAUCCACUACAGAUACCUUAUCCUGCCUAUGUAGCUCCUCUGAGAAUUUACCAAAAUCAUGAAGGCUAGCAGAGGGCUGAUGUUCAGUGUCUGAAGGACUGCAGUGUUUUCAUUUUUUCCACAUUAGUAAAUGCCACAAAUACAAGCUCAGUCCACUGAUGCUGUGGGAAUGCAUCACCUGGUACAGUUCUUUAUUCCAUCCACAUGGACAUUUGUAAUUCUCUGUCACAGUGCUAUGCCCACUGUGCUCUGAGGAGGAGGUUAAGUGGGGCAGAAACAUUAAGCUGAAUUUAAGAUGACAGGACCUGAAGAAACUUUUUUCCCCAGAAUAUUAGUCUUGGACUGUGAAAAAAAAUCAGGUUGUCAAACUCAAAACCAUUUGAUCUUCCUGCUGUGAGCUGAUUGAGUGUGCAAGAGUUUGGAAAGGAGUUGGUAAGAAAUGUUAAAUGUACUAGGAGUUGGUAAGAAAUGUUAAAUGUACUAAAGCUAGAAUUUAAACAAGGGAAGUGAAGAGGGGGGUUAAAACUGGGCUUACAUGUAUUUUGUGGUUUGUUUUGGUGGAUUUUUUUCCCUAGAAGAAGAAGUAAAGGCUGGUCUGUUCCUACUUUAUCAUAUAUGAAAGCUCAGGAGUAACAUAAAAACCGAGUAACCAGUGAGAUUGCCAUUUUUGGCUACCACAUUAACCAUCAUAAAAUCCUCAAAUGAGACAUUAGAGCCACAUCCAUUUUUUACAGAGCUAACAGAUUAGAAAGGCUGUGCUGACAAGAUACCAAUGAGCACCUCUGAGCCCCAUUUUAAAAUGUAGGUAGGAAAAGAACCUUGGAGGAAUAUUCUCACUGAAUAUUCAAAAAUGAGCUUAACUGUGUUUCCUGCAGUAGGAGGGUGCUACAGACACUUAACUUCUGCAGCAGAUAUGCCUCAGAACAGUCUGAAUCCCUGUGGCAAUUAGAAUUAUGAUACAGUGGGAUUAAUUUAAUGUCUGUCAAGCACUCUGAAUAUGAACGUUUCUGUAUAAGCCAUAAGUAGUAGGAACACUUCUGUCAGUUUUGCUUUGCAAUCAGUCAGGCUGUUUUCUCAAUAACUUUUGGAGAGCUUUUAUUGAGUCAGUUAACCAGUCCACUGAAGUGCAAUAGAUCUGCACUAGAAAGGAAAAAAAAAAAAAACAA
Molecule: long non-coding RNA, 3236 nt
Filed under: Taeniopygia guttata (zebra finch)
Lineage: Eukaryota; Metazoa; Chordata; Aves; Passeriformes; Estrildidae
Description: lncRNA (ENSTGUG00000024388.1)
Source: RNAcentral